GACGAACGCUGGCGGCGUGCUUAACACAUGCAAGUGGAGCGACGAACCAGGCUUCGGCCUGGGGCAAAGCCGCGAACGGGUGAGUAACACGUGGGUAACGUGCCCCGAUGACCGGGACAACCCGAGGAAACUCGGGCUAAUACCGGAUGUGCUGCACAGACGUAAGCCUGUGCAACAAAGGAAGCUUCGGCCUCCGCAUCGGGAGCGGCCCGCGGCCCAUUAGCUUGUUGGUGAGGUAACGGCUCACCAAGGCUGCGAUGGGUAGCUGGUCUGAGAGGACGAUCAGCCACACUGGGACUGAGACACGGCCCAGACUCCUACGGGAGGCAGCAGUGGGGAAUCUUGCGCAAUGCGCGAAAGCGUGACGCAGCAACGCCGCGUGAGGGAAGACGGCC
This 395-nucleotide ribosomal RNA is filed under the name uncultured bacterium. RNAcentral's name for it is "bacterial SSU rRNA". It matches the Rfam family "Bacterial small subunit ribosomal RNA", at positions 28 to 416 of the family's 1533-position model. The record is from RNAcentral.